RNAcentral lists this ribosomal RNA (311 nucleotides) under uncultured bacterium. RNAcentral describes it as "bacterial SSU rRNA". It matches the Rfam family "Bacterial small subunit ribosomal RNA", at positions 482 to 793 of the family's 1533-position model. The record is from RNAcentral.
CAGAAGAAGCACCGGCUAACUCCGUGCCAGCAGCCGCGGUAAUACGGAGGGUGCGAGCGUUAAUCGGAAUUACUGGGCGUAAAGCGCAUGCAGGUGGUUUGUUAAGUCAGAUGUGAAAGCCCGGGGCUCAACCUCGGAAUUGCAUUGAAACUGGCAAACUAGAGUACUGUAGAGGGGGUAGAAUUUCAGGUGUAGCGGUGAAAAUGCGUAGAGAUCUGAAGGAAUACCGGUGGCGAAGGCGGCCCCCUGGACAGAUACUGACACUCAGAUGCGAAAGCGUGGGGAGCAAACAGGAUUAGAUACCCUGGUAG